Molecule: unclassified non-coding RNA, 1973 nt
Filed under: Hevea brasiliensis (rubber tree)
Lineage: Eukaryota; Viridiplantae; Streptophyta; Magnoliopsida; Malpighiales; Euphorbiaceae
Source: RNAcentral
GCCAGUUUCCCUUUCAGUUUCUCGCUCUGUCCGCUGCAAGUGCAAGUUUUUAAUGGUUGCGUGAAGAAGAAGUUUGGUAUAUUUGUAGUGUUUUCUUGAUAUCACUCUGUUUUUCUCGAAAUGGGUAAGAAAGAACAGCAACAACUUAGAGAUCACAAGGGCAACGAGAGAGUUGAAGCUGUUCUCGAGCUUCUAAGAAAACAAUCUCCACUCACAGUGAAACAGGAGAAGUUCUGCAACAAUGCUUGUAUAGAACGGUUUCUGAAAGCAAAAGGUGAUAAUGUGAAGAAGGCUGCUAAGCACUUAAGGGCUUGCCUGUCUUGGAGAGAGAGUAUAGGCACUGAGCAACUAAUAGCAGACGAGUUCUCAGCUGAGCUCGCUGAAGGAGUUGCCUAUGUGGCUGGGCAUGAUGAAGAUUCCAGACCUGUUGUGAUUUUUCGCAUGAAGCAAGAUUACCACAAAUUCCAUUCGCAGAAACUGUUCACUCGGCUGCUGGUUUUUACACUUGAGGUGGCCAUAGGAUCAAUGGCAAAAAACGUUGAACAAUUUGUACUCCUCUUCGACGCAAGUAAGCCCCUUUGGCCAUUGGACACAUCACCCUUCGACAAUAUGAAAUUUUUUGAAAAUUGAUGUAGUUUUAAGUAAUUUUACAAGCUAUGCAUGUAUUACACGCUUGUAAAGCAGCCUAAUUUAUGAGACCAGGCACGCAGCCAUGUCGGAGAACCGGCAGGGGUCUGAGAUAUUCUGAGACAAUGUCUGGAGUACCCCUUUAAGUGUCACGUUCAUGGCUCUCUUAUUGGUCCAUUUUUGUAGGGGUAUUCUCGGGAAUUGAACCUCAUCGGUUUUUAUUCUCUCCUAGAAUCGGUCAAUUUCUCUGAUGCAGCACUUAAAUAUUUUGAUCCUCACCAGAAAUACCCAGGAUUCCCCUUUUCUUUUUCUGCUUUUGCCACAAAAAUCAAUACUAAAGAAAGAUAAAUCAUCUGCCAUGCUGAGGCUUUAAUUUUUUAUUUAAAUCUCAUAAUGGGUUUGUUUAGUAAUUAAAUGGGUAUUUAUUUUUCUUAUUUAAAUUUAAUUGCAGGCUUUUUCAGAUCAGCAUCGGCUUUUAUGAACUUAUUACUGGCAACACUGAAAAUUGUGGGCGAAUACUAUCCAUGCAGGCUUUGCAAGGCUUUCAUAAUAGACCCACCUUCUCUAUUUUCUUAUCUAUGGAAGGGUGUUCGUCCCUUUGUUGAGCUGUCAACGGUGAUUAUAGUGGUAUCGUCGUUGGAUUUUGAAGAAUCAUUGGAGUUCAGUGACUUCUCUUCCUACCCGCGAGCCUCAUCCCUCCGAUUCGAUCCUUCGCCAAUAAUAUCAACGUCCAAGAUCGGCUCAUGCUCUUCCUCAAGAUUUUCCUUCACUGUGUCCCACCAUUUUGACUCGCUCAAACCUUGGUACCUAACCUUGACCGACACAUCAGCAUCAAAAGUAGAACCUACUUGCCCCUAUCCUCUAGGCCCGGCUUUAAUUUCCCCGCUCAACGCCAGGUCUCUCUCCUUCGCAUCACCAGCAGCUAGAACGCCACUCAGCAGCAUCAGUGGUGGAAGCUACGGCAGGCCCGCUAAGAAAAAUUUGUUCCCAUCAACUCCGCUGCCACAGCGAGUGACCACGAGUGAGCCCAUCAAAAUUUCUCACCCACGAACCCCACGGCCAUCGUUCCUCCAAUCACCGGCCAUGUUUUUCAAGAAAGAAUGCUAUGUCAACAGGACUGACAAGUCUCGACAGUCGUUUUUGCCCUAUUUGAAGUUCUAUAGGCGGCCGUACGAUGAGAUGAUAUACAGGUCAAAGAUGCGGCCUCCGCUUGGUGGUCUCAUCUCCAUCGUCUCUCCCCACCUUAAACGUCGCCACAUGUCAGUAUCACAACGGUUCUAAAUGAAGAGAAGCUCAUGCAAGCGGAAAACAAGAGCUACAAGAAAACGGAGAGAGAGAGAGAGAGA